CGUGUGAUGAGACUUGUCCUAAGCUUGGUAAACAAAGACAACAGGGAAGGAUUCCUUACUACACUAUCUUCAGUCCAGGAGGCCACAAUGAUGUCAGUUUGCUUUAACAUUCUCUCUUUUCACUUUGUAGGCCCUGAUUCCAAAGAAUAGAGAAGCAGAUGCCUGACUUUUAGCCCCUUCCAUCACCAGUUGACAGUUGUCCCAGCUCACACAUCCUUCAAAUUCAUCCCAUCAGCUGUCCAUCUGCCUCAAGGUUACAAACAGUUACAACUCACAAACAGA
This is a long non-coding RNA of Mauremys reevesii (Reeves's turtle), 282 nucleotides long. RefSeq lists it as uncharacterized. NCBI's taxonomy places the organism in Eukaryota, Metazoa, Chordata, Testudines, Geoemydidae. The record is from RefSeq and is a predicted model, not a curated record. The transcript is spliced from 3 exons.